RNAcentral lists this unclassified non-coding RNA (3430 nucleotides) under Hevea brasiliensis (rubber tree). Lineage: Eukaryota; Viridiplantae; Streptophyta; Magnoliopsida; Malpighiales; Euphorbiaceae. The record is from RNAcentral.
GUUUUUUUUUUUUCCUCAUUUCAGGAACCAUUUCAACAGAGAUUGGCAAAUUCAUUCCCCAGCUAGUAAAUAUGAGACAGAAGCAAACCAUCUAGAAAUUAAAAGAUCAUCACAAGCUUUGUAUCUAAUACAAGAGGUUUCAGGAUCUGGGCGACAGUACCAUUUCUCUUCUGUCAAGUUGAAAGUACACAAACGCUUUUUUCUAUCACAGUGGUUGAUGGAUAUAGAUGCUAACUGUGUAUAAGCUUAUUCCUAUGUAUGAAAUUUAUUCUUUUUUCUUUCUUUGGACUAUAACCAUUAAAGCCUAGGGAACCAAGACCAUGUUUACAAGUGAAAUUGAUCAUUGCCAAUUCACCAAUGUUACUCCCGCCGUCAAAGCGUUCAAGACUCCAUUUUACUGAUUACAAUAAUCCACGUCUUCAUUGGAUGAGAAGAUAAUCCACGUCAUCUCCAGAAGUUGGGGUCAAGUUGCUUCGAUACACAUUUUUGUGAACCUGGGCAUGAGUCUCUGCCUCAUGCUGAAACAUCUUCACUAGUUCUUGCAAUUCCAACUUUCUUACUUCAACCUUCUCUUCAGUGAUGGGUUGCUUCAAACCAAGGUAAAGCAACCCAACUGCAAUUAGCACCACACCUAUGAACACCAGGAGAGCUGCAAACAGACCAAAUGCAUAUGGUGUAUUGUUCGCUCCAGGGAUCCCAUCCACAUUGAUUCCAAACAACCCAGUAAUGAUUGAAAGAACAAGGCCGCAGCCUCCAAAAACAGCCAAAUUAUGGGUUACACGUAGGCUUCUAUCCUGCAACCAUGCCCGAACCGUGCUUUGCAUAACAUCUUGAAUGGUAAACAAGCGACCACGAACUGCUUCUUGCUCCUCCAUCAUUUCUCUAGUGCUCUUCCUUAUUUCCUCUAAAAAUGCUCUUGUUGCAUUUCCUCUCAACUGAUGAAGCAGCUCAAAAACAAUCUCCUCUCUUGCAUGGAGUGACCAUUUCACUCUAAUAACCUGUCUUGAUAACCUUCUGAUUUCUUGGUUCAAAAUAAUACUGAAGAGAUUCAUAUCUUCAUGGUUUCUCCUGUUCAUAAAUUUCAAUUCGAUCUCAUCUGCUGCCCCAAAUAUGGACUUGCGAAAUAACCUAUCAUCCCACCGAGUAAGGCGGCAUGCUAGUAGUGCUAUGAUUUCAUGCACUGUUCUUGGUGAAUUAUAACCUCCAGCAGAAAGAUUCUCCUGAACUUCAGUGAUGCCCAAAACAUUUACUUUUGACACAUGCCCUUUUAUGUGCAAUGCAGUGAUUAGAAAAUUUUGUGCUUGCCAAGAGCGCAUCACAAUAGGAAUGUCAUCCUCUUCAACAAAUGGAUCACCAACUGAUUGCCCCAAGAGUUCAAACAGCAGCCCUCCAGCAACCCUUACUGGGACCUCAUAAAAAAGGUGUUUCAUCCGUUCGCUUAUCAAUCGACUUUCAUCUCUCAAAGCUAAACUGAUUGCAGGAUGUAACCACUGAGCAUUGCUGAGCCAGGCCUGGAUAGAGGGAUGACCUGCAGCAACAUGGCACCACCAUAUGGGCCCUGCGGGGCGCUCCCAGUAGGGAGCUGCUAAUUCUGCAACAGUAAGACCAUCUUCUUCAUCCAUCAACUCCAGUUGCUGCGUAGCCCAGUUUGCAUCAGUUUGCACCAUUUUAACAAGUUCUGAGAUUCUAGCCCAACCAAUGGGUACCCAACGAGUAUCCCCAGAUCUUUCCACAGCAUGAUAUUGUCCUGAUUGAUCGAUCAGGCUGUCUUUAUAUUCACUUAAAGGAGCACUCUGAUUACCCCUAGACUCACAAAUGGACGAGGAUUCCAACAGUUUGUUCCGAUCCAGUCUUGGGGAAGAAGACUCUUUUAUUCCAUUUGCAUGCACGCUGUCUAUUUGUUUGCUUAUGGUAGACUUAGAAUUUAUUGAUCUCCUACCAUGUCCUCGGACAAAUUCAAAGGCACAAAUAAGCCCAUCUGUCCAAAGCUCAUUCCCAGUUAUAAUAUCUCUACUACUAGCAUAACUUCUGUGGAUGUCUGAUUUCUUCAUGUUAUUGUUCUGUGAUAUGGAGUGGUCUUCACCCAUUAGACUCACAUUGUGUUCCAUCUAUGCACAUUCCCUAGCCUCAAGCUUCACAGGAUAAUGAAUGACAAAUUCCAAUAUGUUCUUUCUUUUGGUGAAGGCAGAUAUCAUCAAAUCCAAAAGGAGGCAUCUAUUUUGCUAUGUAAGCAAGAUUGAGAGAAGAUGGAUAAACUAAAUAACUAAUGCAUCUUGUCCAUUGAGGCAAGCAACCAGUCGGUCUUCCCAAGCUCAUGCUGUAAUGGUUAAGAGGAGGAGGCAAAGAAAAAUCAAAGACAAUAACAUAAUUUUAGUCUUCUAAUGACAAAUUAGCGAAACCAAAAUCAUAAAAGAGAAAAAAGAAGUCCAAACGAAAACGAACAAUCUUCCAUUUGAAAUUUACAAUUCCCAACUCCUAAAUAGUCGAAAUUCAAAGACACAUCAAAAUUUCUUUCCAAAAGCUCCAUCACUACACUAAAUAGUAGUAAGAAAUACACGUAUUAGAGAAACUGAGCUGCAAUCAUGCACUCCAAUCUAAUAGCGAGCAUGCGCAGCCAAAAUAUGAAAUAAAAUAAACCCAGAAGCAAAUACGCCAUGUAUAUGAAGAAGCAUCAGAGAACAAAUUCAAAAGAGAGAUAACAAUUUAAUUCAAAAAUUGACCAAACACAGAACAUACCAAUAUUCCAUCUAACCCUGACAAUAGCUAUUGCCAUGGCCCAUUGCUUUGAAGAAAGACAAAAGGCUAAAAAUAUUACCAUUAGAAAACAAAGGUAAUCAAAGGAUUAAACCCGAAGAUUCAGAAAUGGUAAAGCUGCAUAGAUGAGAAGCAAUGCAGCUUGAAUUUCCUCUCACAGACUGAACAGGGGAAAGAGAGUAAAAGGGAAAGAACCAAAAGACGAGACGUUACAGAAGUGAAGACGAAGUAAAGUCGUUUUCCUGCUGCAUAGCAUCGAGAUCGAGAAAGCAUUCGGCUUUUAAAAAACACGCUACAAUCAUGCUGAGCAGAUAUGUACGCAGACCCGGCCAGGCCACGAUGCUGUCUGGACUCGGAACCCACGGUUUUGAUCCCUAGAGUAGGGAAUCAACCUGAACGGAUGAACCGAUCGCUGAGUUCCAAUUUCAAUGAUUUCGUUCAAUUUUAAUUCGGAUUAGUGGCACUUCAGGGUUAGAUUUCUAUUCUAGUUGUAGGUCUGAAUUUUUUUGCGAAUUAGGACUGGUUGGCUCAAGAAGGGAAGGGAACGAGACUCCCCUUCCUCAUUUACAAUUUCGAUUUGGGUGGGGACUGGGAAGUAUUGAUAGGUUCGAAUCACGAAUUUACUCCGGCUCCGGCCAAUUCUGCAUCUGAUAGCGAAGCUAACUCAAACUGUGAG